GCAGUCGAACGGUGAUCCCAGAAGCUUGCUUUUGGGUGAGCAGUGGCGAACGGGUGAGUAACACGUGAGUAACCUGCCCCUGACUCUGGAAUAAGCGCUGGAAACGGCGUCUAAUACCGGAUAUGACACCAAUCCGCAUGGGUAUGGUGUGGAAAGUUUUUCGGUCUGGGAUGGACUCGCGGCCUAUCAGCUUGUUGGUGAGGUAAUGGCUCACCAAGGCGAUGACGGGUAGCCGGCCUGAGAGGGCGAUCGGCCACACUGGGACUGAGACACGGCCCAGACUCCUACGGGAGGCAGCAGUGGGGAAUAUUGCACAAUGGGCGCAAGCCUGAUGCAGCGACGCCGCGUGAGGGAUGACGGCCUUCGGGUUGUAAACCUCUUUCAGCAGGGAAGAAGCGAAAGUGACGGUACCUGCAGAAGAAGCACCGGCUAACUACGUGCCAGCAGCCGCGGUAAUACGUAGGGUGCGAGCGUUGUCCGGAAUUAUUGGGCGUAAAGAGCUUGUAGGCGGUUUGUCGCGUCUGCUGUGAAAAUCCGGGGCUCAACCCCGGACUUGCAGUGGGUACGGGCAGACUAGAGUGUGGUAGGGGAGACUGGAAUUCCUGGUGUAGCGGUGAAAUGCGCAGAUAUCAGGAGGAACACCGAUGGCGAAGGCAGGUCUCUGGGCCACUACUGACG
Molecule: ribosomal RNA, 678 nt
Filed under: bacterium 71-L049659-122-016-G09
Lineage: Bacteria
Description: bacterial SSU rRNA
Rfam family: Bacterial small subunit ribosomal RNA
Source: RNAcentral